GGGGCAGCAGAUCGAAAGCUUGCUUUUGAUGCUGGCGACCGGCGCACGGGUGAGUAACGCGUAUCCAACCUUCCCUAUAGUAGGGGAUAGCCCGGCGAAAGUCGGAUUAAUACUCUAUGUUAUUCAAUGCGGACAUCUAAGUUGAAUCAAAGGCUUGCCGCUAUAGGAUGGGGAUGCGUCUGAUUAGGUAGUCGGCGGGGUAACGGCCCACCGAGCCGACGAUCAGUAGGGGUUCUGAGAGGAAGGUCCCCCACAUUGGAACUGAGACACGGUCCAAACUCCUACGGGAGGCAGCAGUGAGGAAUAUUGGUCAAUGGGCGAGAGCCUGAACCAGCCAAGUAGCGUGCAGGAUGACGGCCCUAUGGGUUGUAAACUGCUUUUAUACAGGGAUAAAGUGAGCCACGUGUGGUUUUUUGUAGGUACUGUAUGAAUAAGGACCGGCUAAUUCCGUGCCAGCAGCCGCGGUAAUACGGAAGGUCCGGGCGUUAUCCGGAUUUAUUGGGUUUAAAGGGAGCGCAGGCUGAUGAUUAAGCGUGACGUGAAAUGUAGCCGCUCAACGGCUGCACUGCGUCGCGAACUGGUUAUCUUGA
RNAcentral lists this ribosomal RNA (590 nucleotides) under uncultured rumen bacterium. Its description in RNAcentral is "bacterial SSU rRNA". It matches the Rfam family "Bacterial small subunit ribosomal RNA", at positions 66 to 645 of the family's 1533-position model. The record is from RNAcentral.